GCAGUCGGCCGGGCGGCCGCUGCGUCCGGCGCGGCCUCGGCCGCGAUCGGACGUGGAGGAAAGUCCGAACUCCGCAGGGCUGUGCGCCGGGUAACGCCCGGUCAGGGCGACCUGAAGGAAAGUGGCACAGAAAACAUACCGCCGCGCGCCGCGCACGCUCGCUCGGCGCGCGGUAAGGGUGAAAAGGUGCGGUAAGAGCGCACCGCGUCCCCCGCAAGGGGGAUGGCAGGCUAAACCCCGCACGGAGCAAGACCAAAUAGGGAGGCGCUACAGNNNNNNNNNNAGGAAUGGUCGCCGCCGCGUGACGACGCGCUCAUGGCGUGACCGAACGCGGUACAGAAUUCGGCUUACGCGCCGGCUGCGGCG
Molecule: RNase P RNA, 366 nt
Filed under: Acidobacteriota bacterium
Lineage: Bacteria; Pseudomonadati; Acidobacteriota
Description: Acidobacteria bacterium RNase P RNA component class A
Rfam family: Bacterial RNase P class A
About the family: Ribonuclease P (RNase P) is a ubiquitous endoribonuclease, found in archaea, bacteria and eukarya as well as chloroplasts and mitochondria. Its best characterised activity is the generation of mature 5'-ends of tRNAs by cleaving the 5'-leader elements of precursor-tRNAs.
Source: RNAcentral